AGUGAACGCUGGCGGUAGGCCUAACGCAUGCAAGUCGAACGGCAGCACAGUAAGAGCUUGCUCUUACGGGUGGCGAGUGGCGGACGGGUGAGGAAUACAUCGGAAUCUACUUUUUCGUGGGGGAUAACGUAGGGAAACUUACGCUAAUACCGCAUACGACCUACGGGUGAAAGCAGGGGAUCUUCGGACCUUGCGCGAUUGAAUGAGCCGAUGUCGGAUUAGCUAGUUGGCGGGGUAAAGGCCCACCAAGGCGACGAUCCGUAGCUGGUCUGAGAGGAUGAUCAGCCACACUGGAACUGAGACACGGUCCAGACUCCUACGGGAGGCAGCAGUGGGGAAUAUUGGACAAUGGGCGCAAGCCUGAUCCAGCCAUACCGCGUGGGUGAAGAAGGCCUUCGGGUUGUAAAGCCCUUUUGUUGGAAAAGAAAAGCAGCAGGUUAAUACCCCGCUGUUCUGACGGUACCCAAAGAAUAAGCACCGGCUAACUUCGUG
Molecule: ribosomal RNA, 492 nt
Filed under: uncultured bacterium
Lineage: Bacteria
Description: partial 16S ribosomal RNA
Rfam family: Bacterial small subunit ribosomal RNA
Source: RNAcentral